RNAcentral lists this ribosomal RNA (253 nucleotides) under uncultured bacterium. RNAcentral's name for it is "partial 16S ribosomal RNA". It matches the Rfam family "Bacterial small subunit ribosomal RNA", at positions 524 to 776 of the family's 1533-position model. The record is from RNAcentral.
AACGUAGGAGGCGAGCGUUAUCCGGAGUUACUGGGCGUAAAGGGUGCGUAGGCGGGUCUUUAAGUCAGGGGUGAAAUCCUGGAGCUCAACUCCAGAACUGCCUUUGAUACUGAAGAUCUUGAGUUCGGGAGAGGUGAGUGGAACUGCGAGUGUAGAGGUGAAAUUCGUAGAUAUUCGCAAGAACACCAGUGGCGAAGGCGGCUCACUGGCCCGAUACUGACGCUGAGGCACGAAAGCGUGGGGAGCAAACAGG